RNAcentral lists this transfer RNA (73 nucleotides) under Gloeomargaritaceae cyanobacterium C42_A2020_066. It matches the Rfam family "tRNA". Rfam says of the family: Transfer RNA (tRNA) molecules are approximately 80 nucleotides in length. The record is from Rfam by way of RNAcentral. Lineage: Bacteria; Bacillati; Cyanobacteriota; Cyanophyceae; Gloeomargaritales; Gloeomargaritaceae.
GCUGCAGUAGCUCAGUGGAUAGAGCAGCGACCUUCUAAGUCGUGGGUCGGGGGUUCAAAUCCCUCCUGCGGCG